UGGGGAAUAUUGCACAAUGGGCGCAAGCCUGAUGCAGCCAUGCCGCGUGUGUGAAGAAGGCCUCGGUUGUAAAGCACUUUCAGCGAGGAGGAAGGUGGUGAGCUUAAUACGCUCAUCAAUUGACGUUACUCGCAGAAGAAGCACCGGCUAACUCCGUGCCAGCAGCCGCGGUAAUACGGAGGGUGCAAGCGUUAAUCGGAAUUACUGGGCGUAAAGCGCACGCAGGCGGUUUGUUAAGUCAGAUGUGAAAUCCCCGGGGCUCAACCUGGGAACUGCAUUUGAAACUGGCAAGCUAGAGUCUCGUAGAGGGGGGUAGAAUUCCAGGUGUAGCGGUGAAAUGCGUAGAGAUCUGGAGGAAUACCGGUGGCGAAGGCGGCCCCCUGGACGAAGACUGACGCUCAGGUGCGAAAGCGUGGGGAGCAAACAGAUUAGAUACCCUGGUAGUCCACGCUGUAAACGAUGUCGAUUUUGGAGGUUGUG
This 480-nucleotide ribosomal RNA is filed under the name uncultured bacterium. Its description in RNAcentral is "partial 16S ribosomal RNA". It matches the Rfam family "Bacterial small subunit ribosomal RNA", at positions 355 to 829 of the family's 1533-position model. The record is from RNAcentral.